RNAcentral lists this ribosomal RNA (465 nucleotides) under Vreelandella stevensii. RNAcentral's name for it is "partial 16S ribosomal RNA". It matches the Rfam family "Bacterial small subunit ribosomal RNA", at positions 338 to 795 of the family's 1533-position model. The record is from RNAcentral. Lineage: Bacteria; Pseudomonadati; Pseudomonadota; Gammaproteobacteria; Oceanospirillales; Halomonadaceae.
CCUACGGGGGGCUGCAGUGGGGAAUAUUGGACAAUGGGGGCAACCCUGAUCCAGCCAUGCCGCGUGUGUGAAGAAGGCCCUCGGGUUGUAAAGCACUUUCAGUGAGGAAGAACGCCUGGUGGUUAAUACCCAUCAGGAAAGACAUCACUCACAGAAGAAGCACCGGCUAACUCCGUGCCAGCAGCCGCGGUAAUACGGAGGGUGCGAGCGUUAAUCGGAAUUACUGGGCGUAAAGCGCGCGUAGGUGGCUUGAUAAGCCGGUUGUGAAAGCCCCGGGCUCAACCUGGGAACGGCAUCCGGAACUGUCCAGCUAGAGUGCAGGAGAGGAAGGUAGAAUUCCCGGUGUAGCGGUGAAAUGCGUAGAGAUCGGGAGGAAUACCAGUGGCGAAGGCGGCCUUCUGGACUGACACUGACACUGAGGUGCGAAAGCGUGGGUAGCAAACAGGAUUAGAUACCCUAGUAGUC